Non-coding RNA from Danio rerio (zebrafish), 126 nucleotides. The record is from RefSeq and is a predicted model, not a curated record. Lineage: Eukaryota; Metazoa; Chordata; Actinopteri; Cypriniformes; Danionidae.
CUUAGGGUGACCAAACCCUUAAUACAUUUAUACAAACAAAGCUGCUUUAAAAACGGAGAAGCAUCGAUGGAGGCGUUGGAGCUGGAGCUGGAAGAAGUGGAAUCCCAGAUCCGCGCGCUGGUGGUA